UGGGGAAUAUUGCACAAUGGGCGCAAGCCUGAUGCAGCCAUGCCGCGUGUAUGAAGAAGGCCUUCGGGUUGUAAAGUACUUUCAGCGGGGAGGAAGGGAGUAAAGUUAAUACCUUUGCUCAUUGACGUUACCCGCAGAAGAAGCACCGGCUAACUCCGUGCCAGCAGCCGCGGUACUACGGAGGGUGCAAGCGUUAAUCGGAAUUACUGGGCGUAAAGCGCACGCAGGCGGUUUGUUAAGUCAGAUGUGAAAUCCUCGGGCUCAACCUGGGAACUGCAUCUGAUACUGGCAAGCUUGAGUCUCGUAGAGGGGGGUAGAAUUCCAGGUGUAGCGGUGAAAUGCGUAGAGAUCUGGAGGAAUACCGGUGGCGAAGGCGGCCCCCUGGACGAAGACUGACGCUCAGGUGCGAAAGCGUGGGGAGCAAACAGG
Molecule: ribosomal RNA, 429 nt
Filed under: Chloroflexota bacterium
Lineage: Bacteria; Bacillati; Chloroflexota
Description: Chloroflexi bacterium partial 16S ribosomal RNA
Rfam family: Bacterial small subunit ribosomal RNA
Source: RNAcentral